UACGUAGGGUGCAAGCGUUGUCCGGAAUUAUUGGGCGUAAAGAGCUCGUAGGCGGUUUGUCGCGUCUGCUGUGAAAACCCGAGGCUCAACCUCGGGCCUGCAGUGGGUACGGGCAGACUAGAGUGCGGUAGGGGAGAUUGGAAUUCCUGGUGUAGCGGUGGAAUGCGCAGAUAUCAGGAGGAACACCAAGUGGCGAAGGCAGAUCUCUGGGCCGUAACUGACGCUGAGGAGCGAAAGCGUGGGGAGCGAACAGG
Molecule: ribosomal RNA, 254 nt
Filed under: uncultured bacterium
Lineage: Bacteria
Description: partial 16S ribosomal RNA
Rfam family: Bacterial small subunit ribosomal RNA
Source: RNAcentral